Molecule: unclassified non-coding RNA, 240 nt
Filed under: soil metagenome
Description: partial contains 5.8S ribosomal RNA, internal transcribed spacer 2, and large subunit ribosomal RNA
Source: RNAcentral
AACUGAUACUACCUGCGGGAACCUGCGGAAGGAUCAUUACUGAAGUGAUUUGGGGAUGUUGCUGGCCCUCUCUCAAGGGGGGGCACUGUGCACUCCUCGAAACAAUUCACAAUUUCCAUCACACCCCUUGUGCACACCUUGUAGGCACCCAAACCCACCUCCGGGUGGUGGGGUCCUAUGUAUUCCUUCAUCUCACACUCUGUUGAAUGGUGCCAUGGGACGCACCUAAAGGAUUAUUUG